GAUGAACGCUGGCGGCGUGCCUAAUACAUGCAAGUCGAGCGAACAGACGAGGAGCUUGCUCCUCUGACGUUAGCGGCGGACGGGUGAGUAACACGUGGAUAACCUACCUAUAAGACUGGGAUAACCUCGGGAAACCGGAGCUAAUACCGGAUAAUAUAUUGAACCGCAUGGUUCAAUAGUGAAAGACGGUUUUGCUGUCACUUAUAGAUGGAUCCGCGCCGCAUUAGCUAGUUGGUAAGGUAACGGCUUACCAAGGCAACGAUGCGUAGCCGACCUGAGAGGGUGAUCGGCCACACUGGACCUGAGACACGGUCCAGACUCCUACGGGAGGCAGCAGUAGGGAAUCUUCCGCAAUGGGCGAAAGCUUGACGGAGCAACGCCGCGUGAGUGAUGAAGGUCUUCGGAUCGUAAAACUCUGUUAUUAGGGAAGAACAAAUGUGUAAGUAACUAUGCACGUCUUGACGGUACCUAAUCAGAAAGCCACGGCUAACUACGUG
Molecule: ribosomal RNA, 497 nt
Filed under: uncultured bacterium
Lineage: Bacteria
Description: partial 16S ribosomal RNA
Rfam family: Bacterial small subunit ribosomal RNA
Source: RNAcentral